AGAGAAUAAUGAAAUGUUGGCUGCUAACCUUCAUUGUUGCUUAUAGCCUUUCUCUA
RNAcentral lists this transfer RNA (56 nucleotides) under Leptotrombidium intermedium. Its description in RNAcentral is "tRNA-Ser". The record is from RNAcentral. Lineage: Eukaryota; Metazoa; Arthropoda; Arachnida; Trombidiformes; Trombiculidae.